RNAcentral lists this ribosomal RNA (453 nucleotides) under uncultured bacterium. Its description in RNAcentral is "bacterial SSU rRNA". It matches the Rfam family "Bacterial small subunit ribosomal RNA", at positions 340 to 786 of the family's 1533-position model. The record is from RNAcentral.
UACGGGAGGCAGCAGUGGGGAAUAUUGCACAAUGGGCGCAAGCCUGAUGCAGCCAUGCCGCGUGUAUGAAGAAGGCCUUCGGGUUGUAAAGUACUUUCAGUCGUGAGGAAGGUGUUAAGGUUAAUAACUUUAGCAAUUGACGUUAGCGACAGAAGAAGCACCGGCUAACUCCGUGCCAGCAGCCGCGGUAAUACGGAGGGUGCGAGCGUUAAUCGGAAUUACUGGGCGUAAAGGGCACGCAGGCGGUUAAUUAAGUUGGAUGUGAAAUCCCCGGGCUUAACCUGGGAAUGGCAUUCAAGACUGGUUAGCUAGAGUCUUGUAGAGGGGGUAGAAUUCCAUGUGUAGCGGUGAAAUGCGUAGAGAUGUGGAGGAAUACCGGUGGCGAAGGCGGCCCCUGGACAAAGACUGACGCUCAUGUGCGAAAGCGUGGGGAGCAAACAGGGAUUAGAUACC